GCCACUUCACAUUCUGUUUGUCGACAUUGGCCAAACUUUUUGGGCUUUUCAAAUUGGUUUCUGACCCAUUUAAAAUCUAUGUUAAGCCUUCUUCGUCAGUUGUGUCUCGAUGAAACAGAUAUACCCACGUUUUCAUCUUCCUCAAUCGUCUCAACGAUUCUCCUACGUCAGCAACAAUAUUCAACCAAUAAAUACUCUCAAAACCCACGUCACCAAUCAAGCUUCCCUAAUAGACUGACUUUUUAUUUCUCUCCUCAUACUAAACGUUUUUACAAACGAUGAUCCUCUCAUCUCCCACACCUUCCUCCAUCUCUCAUAAUUAUAUAUUGAUUCAGUCCGCAAUCUCACUAACUAUAGAUCGAUUCGAUUGUUUGGUUCACUUUCGUCACCUCCAACUUCAGUGCGAAAUACAAUUUUCCAGUUUUAAAAUACAACCAAUCAUAUGCUCUUAUUUUGCCACUUCACAUUCUGUUUGUCGACAUUGGCCAAACUUUUUGGGCUUUUCAAAUUGGUUUCUGACCCAUUUAAAAUCUAUGUUAAGCCUUCUUCGUCAGUUGUGUCUCGAUGAAACAGAUAUACCCACGUUUUCAUCUUCCUCAAUCGUCUCAACGAUUCUCCUACGUCAGCAACAAUAUUCAACCAAUAAAUACUCUCAAAACCCACGUCACCAAUCAAGCUUCCCUAAUAGACUGACUUUUUAUUUCUCUCCUCAUACUAAACGUUUUUACAAACGAUGAUCCUCUCAUCUCCCACACCUUCCUCCAUCUCUCAUAAUUAUAUAUUGAUUCAGUCCGCAAUCUCACUAACUAUAGAUCGAUUCGAUUGUUUGGUUCACUUUCGUCACCUCCAACUUCAGUGCGAAAUACAAUUUUCCAGUUUUAAAAUACAAUUCAACUCGGGAGCAAUCCGGGUAUCAUUGGUUCUUAACCGAUGACCAAAUCAGAACCAGAGUUGAAAGCAAGAGAUAUUUUGGUAUGGCCUUGAAGACGACAGUGCCUGCGAACGCAACGGCUGCCCAAACUCGGAAGAAGCCUAUAUGACCUAAAGGAGGCACUGAGAUAGUACAACUUUAUCCUGAUUCCUGAGUAUGGACACUAGAGUGAUGCAGAUGAAAGUAACUCCUCAGAUAUUGAUUUCUUUGAAUAUACUGAGGCUGUGAAGUUACAUGGGAUCCAAAUGUGUCGGCUGGCCAGGUUAUUUAUCUAUUUAGUGUGUUUUAGACCUAAAUUUCUCUUUGUUCACCGUAGAAAUCCAAUAUGUAGCCCAAGUAAUUUUUUUGCCUUCCCUUCUCCACAGAUUUCUUCUUUUUUUUUCUCUUAACUAAAAAGCUAACGUCAACCUUCAUGUUAGUAUAACUUUUUCUCCACUUUAAUUCUUCAAAACUCUCUUUAUUUCAGUACCUUUCAGUUCUCCCAUCUCCACCAUCUAUAUAUGACUCGCCUCAUUUAGACAGAACCCCUAUCACGAACCACUCGAUUCUCCUUUUAUUAAUCAGGUGUUGGCUUACGCACACCAGUCUUACAAAAGAAGUGAUCAAAUAACUUACUACUCAAGUAAUUUCAAAGCAAAAAGAAAAAUAGCCAUUGGAGAAAUGCUGCAUUGUUCAAGAGGAAUCUGGUUGUUGGAGUUGACAUAUUUCUCUCAAAUGUUAUCCAUGUCCAUAGCGCCACUAUAAAAUAGGCCCCGCAAGUUUACUCUGAAGCUGACACACUGAGGAACCUAAAAUCAAGACUUGCAAAGGGACUGAUAAUCAAGUGCACUAAAUGCAAUCUGAAAGGGGAUGCCUUUGUCUGCUAUAUCAAGUCUUGCCGGUGGGAUUAUAAUUCCUGCUGAGGUUUGUUCAUUGGAUCGUACAAAAUAUCUUUUUCUCUGUGGAUAUGCACUAUCACAGAAUGAGAAGGUUAGUAAUUAGUAAUAAGCAUCUCUUCUUACCACAAGACAACCAAGAAACCCCAUCCUAUGUGGAUAUAUCAUACCUACUUUGCUUAAAAAAAACUUAUCUUCGCAUUUCAUUGCUUUCCCCCAGUGCCUGAUGGAAUAAUCCAUAUCAAGGUACUGGAACCCAAGUGUUACACAUGUGCUUGCUUCUAAGGAUGUGAAAGGAGCGUGUACAAGAACUGUGAAUGUUAUUAUGGAUAUUCUCAAUGGAAAAGGGAUUAUAAUUGCAUACUGUAAGUUAGAUUGGUCACUCAAGAUUUCAAAUGCUCUUUACUUUUGCCAGUAAUAAAUCUUUGCCUUCACAUGGAUAAACUUUAACUCUUUCCAAGGAUGAAAGCAAGUCUCAAAGCUUCUCAAAGCUAUUGAUGAAGAACCAUUUGAUAUUCAUGUUGCCACUCAAAGAUCUCAAAAUGGACCAAAAACUGCAAAACUCAAAGUAGCAACUAAUGUGUCAGUAUUUAUAAACACACCCAAUGAAAAAGAACCUCAAAUUUGUAAGAAUUUUUAAUGAGUCGCACACUUGCACUGUUAAAUUCUGUUUUGCAACAGUUCAGUUGCUAUGUUUCGACUGAGUUGGUUUUAUUGGGUAUUCUCACCUCUAAAGAGAUUUUUGCAGAACCUAGCCUCGAAAGAUCAGAUAACAGUGUAUGGCUUCAUCAUCGAGCAUCAUGUUGUACCAGGCAACAUGAUCCAGCUAACUUCGCAUUACCUCAGCAGGCCGAAGUCGUCAGGCUUACGUAGUGAUGCAAGCAUGUGUUUCAGCCAACAUGAUUCAGCUAAAUUAAUCGGGGAUAUCAUGUUGCAUCAUCAUUUUGGAGAAUUUCGUACUAACGAAGUCGUCAAGAUUAUGUAGGGAUGUGUGCAUGUGUUUCAAGUAGAGUGUAUAAACAGUAGAAGUGAUACAAGUGAUUUCUUAAUAAUUUUAACCUCACUAGCUUA
Molecule: RNA transcript, 2877 nt
Organism: Brassica napus (rape)
Lineage: Eukaryota; Viridiplantae; Streptophyta; Magnoliopsida; Brassicales; Brassicaceae
Exons: 8
Source: RefSeq, a predicted model, not a curated record